Molecule: ribosomal RNA, 439 nt
Filed under: uncultured bacterium
Lineage: Bacteria
Description: partial 16S ribosomal RNA
Rfam family: Bacterial small subunit ribosomal RNA
Source: RNAcentral
CUACGGGACACACCAGUGAGGAAUAUUGCACAAUGGGGGGAACCCUGAUGCAGCAACGCCGCGUGGAGGAUGACGCAUUUCGGUGUGUAAACUCCUUUUAUAUGUCAAGAAAAUGACGGUAGCAUAUGAAUAAGCACCGGCUAACUCCGUGCCAGCAGCCGCGGUAAUACGGAGGGUGCAAGCGUUACUCGGAAUCACUGGGCGUAAAGGACGCGUAGGCGGGUUGGAAAGUCAGGUGUGAAAUCCUACGGCUUAACUGUAGAACUGCACUUGAAACUUCUAAUCUAGAGUAUGGGAGGGGGAGAUGGAAUUAGUGGUGUAGGGGUAAAAUCCGUAGAUAUCACUAGGAAUACCUAAAGCGAAGGCGAUCUCCUGGAACAUUACUGACGCUAAGGCGUGAAAGCGUGGGGAGCAAACAGGAUUAGAUACCCCUGUAGUC